RNAcentral lists this ribosomal RNA (1020 nucleotides) under Alternaria alternata. RNAcentral describes it as "SSU rRNA". It matches the Rfam family "Eukaryotic small subunit ribosomal RNA", at positions 75 to 1104 of the family's 1831-position model. The record is from RNAcentral. Lineage: Eukaryota; Fungi; Ascomycota; Dothideomycetes; Pleosporales; Pleosporaceae.
UAUACCGUGAAACUGCGAAUGGCUCAUUAAAUCAGUUAUCGUUUAUUUGAUAAUACCUUACUACUUGGAUAACCGUGGUAAUUCUAGAGCUAAUACAUGCUGAAAAUCCCGACUUCGGAAGGGAUGUGUUUAUUAGAUAAAAAACCAAUGCCCUUCGGGGCUUUUUGGUGAUUCAUGAUAACUUUACGGAUCGCAUAGCCUUGCGCUGGCGACGGUUCAUUCAAAUUUCUGCCCUAUCAACUUUCGAUGGUAAGGUAUUGGCUUACCAUGGUUUCAACGGGUAACGGGGAAUUAGGGUUCGAUUCCGGAGAGGGAGCCUGAGAAACGGCUACCACAUCCAAGGAAGGCAGCAGGCGCGCAAAUUACCCAAUCCCGACACGGGGAGGUAGUGACAAUAAAUACUGAUACAGGGCUCUUUUGGGUCUUGUAAUUGGAAUGAGUACAAUUUAAACCUCUUAACGAGGAACAAUUGGAGGGCAAGUCUGGUGCCAGCAGCCGCGGUAAUUCCAGCUCCAAUAGCGUAUAUUAAAGUUGUUGCAGUUAAAAAGCUCGUAGUUGAAACUUGGGCCUGGCUGGCGGGUCCGCCUCACCGCGUGCACUCGUCCGGCCGGGCCUUCCUUCUGAAGAACCUCAUGCCCUUCACUGGGCGUGCUGGGGAAUCAGGACUUUUACUUUGAAAAAAUUAGAGUGUUCAAAGCAGGCCUUUGCUCGAAUACGUUAGCAUGGAAUAAUAAAAUAGGGCGUGCGUUUCUAUUUUGUUGGUUUCUAGAGACGCCGCAAUGAUUAACAGGAACAGUCGGGGGCAUCAGUAUUCAGUUGUCAGAGGUGAAAUUCUUGGAUUUACUGAAGACUAACUACUGCGAAAGCAUUUGCCAAGGAUGUUUUCAUUAAUCAGUGAACGAAAGUUAGGGGAUCGAAGACGAUCAGAUACCGUCGUAGUCUUAACCGUAAACUAUGCCGACUAGGGAUCGGGCGAUGUUCUUUUUCUGACUCGCUCGGCGCCUUACGAGAAAUCAAAGU